Molecule: ribosomal RNA, 1716 nt
Filed under: Triticum aestivum (bread wheat)
Lineage: Eukaryota; Viridiplantae; Streptophyta; Magnoliopsida; Poales; Poaceae
Description: partial small subunit ribosomal RNA
Source: RNAcentral
AUGGCGACUGAGGUCAAUCAGACUUUUUUUGCGUGGUCACAAGGAGAAACAACUGACCUGGGUGUUUCUGAAGGAGUUUCUGUAUCCCAGACACUCAACCAUGGUUCCGUAUCCUUCGGAAGAUUUGAACUUGAGUCACUAUCUUGGGAGAAGUGGUCUGUAUUUAGUAAUGACAAACGCCAUGAAGAGUUUGUUAAGUUCAAUGGUUUAGUAGCUCAGAAGAAGGCAUAUUUUGAAGAGUACUACAAGAAGAUCAGGGAACUCAAGGCUUCACAGCAGCAAAUUCAGCAAACUGAACUCACCUUGGAAUACAGUGGUGAUGGAAGUGAUUCUAGCCAAACAGAAGAUAUGCCGGCCGAAGAGCUUGAAACUCCCACAGGAUCUGGAACAAUUGUCUAUGAUUAUGUGGAAGGAGCUGCACAUGAGACCACCUCUGAACAGGGCAUGCAAUGCUAUCAUGACCAUGAAGACGAGGACUUCCGUAACGAACUUUCUUCAUCCAAUCUUGUUUCAGAAGCCAGAAUUUCACAGCAAACCGAUCAGGAUGGUAGAAAAAAUGCUCUUGGUGAUAAUUCAGAUUCGGCCGAUGUUGAAAAUGCAGGUUUUGGUCACGACGGUCUUGGAGCAGCUCAUGAAAAUGCAAGGGCUCCUAGAAGAAAUACAGAGAAAGACCCCAGACUUAGAUAUGCUUCCAUGAUAAUACCAAAAUCGGUUAAAACUGUUGCGGGCAGUCCUCUGGACCGGACAUCUGUUACUAAGACGCCUGGUUCAGUGAAGCCUAACAUGAUUACAAACCAGAAGACUAAGACGAACAAUGUCCGUAGCUCGAGUGUGGCAUCACAGAAGAUGGCCGGCGCGCCACGGACUCGCAGGAUUACAGAAAAAGAAGCACUCGGGGUUACAGGUGUCAAAAGACCUUCCUCAGCUGCCGGGCGCGUCACUUCUAUCGGAGAGAAGCAUCCCAUCACCAGGGCAACUGCUAAGAAGCCUGCUGAUGUCUCCACCCCAGGACGCCCUUCCACUGCUGAAAGACGCCCUGUCACCAGAGAGCGUGCACAGAAGCAAGCUGCUGUCGCCACGCCAUGCCGGCCUUCCACCUCUGAAAGACGCCCCGUUGACAGAGGAAGUGCAGCAAAGCGUUCUGAUGUUGAGGGUACACGUCGGCCCUCUACAGGAGAAAGACCCUCUGUUACCAGGGAUAGUGUGAGAACUCCUAGCAAGACAGCGGCAUCAAGUGUGGCACAUCCAAAGGUUACAUCGACCACUGUGAGCACUCUGAAAAGGCCAGCCCCUCUGAAUGCUACUACUAAAAGUACCAAGCCAGAGCCAAAAAGCAAUAUCAGAGGAUCGAAAGAUGCUUCAACAUUGCAGAGUCACUUAACUAGGCCAGCAAGAAUGGACUUGCAAGUGGCUGGCAAACAAAAAUCAAGCUCGGUAAACCUGCCAGCAAGGAAAAUGCUGAGUUCCAGUGUUGGAGAAGCAACUUUUGCUAGGCUGAAAAAGAAAGAGGGCAUUCCGGCGACAGGGCAAUCUCGAGCAUCCGCAUCGAAGAAAACAACUCCUUUGCAGACAGGAAACACCAAGUCCAGGGCACCAAACCCACCGACACCGCCGCCUCCACCACGUCGUCCGUCGAGAACAACGAGCAAACCAACUGUCAGCGGCUCAUCAGUUGGUGGAAGAAAGCCAAAGGCCUCGACAACACAAUGGCAUUGA